This 253-nucleotide ribosomal RNA is filed under the name uncultured bacterium. RNAcentral describes it as "partial 16S ribosomal RNA". It matches the Rfam family "Bacterial small subunit ribosomal RNA", at positions 524 to 776 of the family's 1533-position model. The record is from RNAcentral.
UACAUGUGGGGCAAGCGUUGUUCGGAAUUACUGGGCGUAAAGCGCGCGCAGGCGGUUCUUUAAGUCAGGAGUGAAAGCCCAGAGCUCAACUCUGGAAUUGCCUUUGAAACUAGAGAACUUGGGUACGGGAGAGGUGAGUGGAAUUCCGAGUGUAGAGGUGAAAUUCGUAGAUAUUCGGAAGAACACCAGUGGCGAAGGCGGCUCACUGGCCCGGUACUGACGCUGAGGUGCGAAAGCGUGGGGAGCAAACAGG